Molecule: transfer RNA, 401 nt
Filed under: Mustela putorius furo (domestic ferret)
Lineage: Eukaryota; Metazoa; Chordata; Mammalia; Carnivora; Mustelidae
Description: lncRNA (ENSMPUG00000031716.1)
Source: RNAcentral
UGUGUUUCCAUUUUUGCUUGUUUCAAGAAAAUUUUUAUUUUUACUUAUUUAUUUUUAAAGAUUUUAUUUUUAAGUGAUACCUGUACCCAAGGUGAAGCUGGAACUCACAAUCCAAAAUCAAGAGUCCUAUGCUGUACCACUGAGCCAGCCAGGUGCCCUGCACUCUCUGAUUUUUUAGGUCACUAAACUUCCCUUAGAGAAUUAUUCUGAAUUUUUUGUGUGCCAGUUCAUGGAUCUCCAUUUCUUUAGGGUCAGUUAUUGGAGCUUUAUUAGUUUCCUUUGUUGGUGUCAUAUUUAUCUGACUUUUCAUAAUCCUUGAUUCCUUAUGUUGGCAUCUGUGCAUUUGCGUAAUCUGACUCCUCUUCCAGACUUUACAGGUUUGCUUUGGCAGAGCUAGUUCU